Molecule: ribosomal RNA, 255 nt
Filed under: uncultured bacterium
Lineage: Bacteria
Description: partial 16S ribosomal RNA
Rfam family: Bacterial small subunit ribosomal RNA
Source: RNAcentral
UACGGAGGGUGCAAGCGUUGUUCGGAAUUAUUGGGCGUAAAGCGCGCGCAGGCGGUCGAAAAAGUCUAUGGGUAAAAGGCCGGGGCUCAACUCCGUGCACGCCGGGGGAUACUGGGAGGCUGGAGACAUGUAGAGGCAAGCGGAAUUCCGGGUGUAGCGGUGGAAUGCGUAGAGAUCCGGAAGAACACCUGAGGCGAAGGCGGCUUGCUGGGCAUGAUCUGACGCUGAGGCGCGAAAGCUAGGGUAGCAAACGGG